CCUUCUAUGAUGAUUUUGCCAAAAUGACUUUCGUUCUUCUGAGAUUGCUGAAGCCACAAUUAGGUGCUGAGAGGG
Small nucleolar RNA from Jaculus jaculus (lesser Egyptian jerboa), 75 nucleotides. Ensembl annotates it as small nucleolar RNA, C/D box 59A. Its record names the gene Snord59a. The record is from Ensembl. Lineage: Eukaryota; Metazoa; Chordata; Mammalia; Rodentia; Dipodidae.